GGAUGCGAUCAUACUAGCACUAAUGCACUGGAUUUCAUCAAAACAUUGAAGUUAAGCGUGCUUGGGCAAGAGUAGUACUAGGAUGGGUGACCCCCUGGGAAGUCCUCAUGUUGCAUCCC
Molecule: ribosomal RNA, 119 nt
Filed under: Ipomoea nil (Japanese morning glory)
Lineage: Eukaryota; Viridiplantae; Streptophyta; Magnoliopsida; Solanales; Convolvulaceae
Source: RNAcentral